GCUUCCGUAGCUCAGUUGGAAGAGCGCAGGUCUCAUAAUCCUGAGGUCGACGGUUCGAACCCGCCCGGGAGCA
This 73-nucleotide transfer RNA is filed under the name Fomitopsis schrenkii. RNAcentral describes it as "tRNA-Met (CAT) (tRNA-Met-CAT-2-1)". It matches the Rfam family "tRNA". From Rfam's summary of the family: Transfer RNA (tRNA) molecules are approximately 80 nucleotides in length. The record is from RNAcentral. Lineage: Eukaryota; Fungi; Basidiomycota; Agaricomycetes; Polyporales; Fomitopsidaceae.